GCCGGCCUAGCUCAAUUGGUAGAGCAACUGACUUGUAAUCAGUUGGUUGGGGGUUCAAGUCCUCUGGCCGGCACCA
This 76-nucleotide transfer RNA is filed under the name Staphylococcus aureus. RNAcentral's name for it is "tRNA-Thr". It matches the Rfam family "tRNA". Rfam says of the family: Transfer RNA (tRNA) molecules are approximately 80 nucleotides in length. Their secondary structure includes four short double-helical elements and three loops (D, anti-codon, and T loops). Further hydrogen bonds mediate the characteristic L-shaped molecular structure. tRNAs have two regions of fundamental functional importance: the anti-codon, which is responsible for specific mRNA codon recognition, and the 3' end, to which the tRNAs corresponding amino acid is attached (by aminoacyl-tRNA synthetases). tRNAs cope with the degeneracy of the genetic code in two manners: having more than one tRNA (with a specific anti-codon) for a particular amino acid; and 'wobble' base-pairing, i.e. permitting non-standard base-pairing at the 3rd anti-codon position. The record is from RNAcentral. Lineage: Bacteria; Bacillati; Bacillota; Bacilli; Caryophanales; Staphylococcaceae.